GGCCCUGAUGCCACCCUCUUCAAUGCCAUCAAAAAGGGCAGCUCUAUUGGUACGGAGAUCUCUGUACACAAAAGGAGUUGGCGUAAUCCCAGAUGGCAAGAUCACACCACAAAAGUAUGCAUUCACUAAUAAAAAUUGACAGCCUCCAAUGGAAUUCAAAGCAAAAUUAAUAGGAAGGACAGUUAAAAGGACGAAGUUCACAUUCAAACCCAUAUUCAAGAGAGAUGCAUCCAGAUAAUCCCAUAGAGAAUCGUGCUAUAGAAUUAUUAAGUGCUUAACCAGUAACAACUAUCAAGAGUUUUUAACUCUUCCAGGAACCACAACAAAAGCAUGGCAUUGACAAGAUUUACAGACCAGAUCUAAGAAAAAGUUGAAUUAGAUUGAAUUUCCAAAUCAGAAAGAUGAUUUGUUAUUAUAAACUAAGAAAUAAGGGAAAAAUGCUAGAAGACACAAUUGAUGACUAGAAGAACAACCUAUAUCUCUUGCUGUGAUGUCUGUGUGUGUGAAUACUCAAAUAACAAGAAUUAAAGAGAAAGCAUGUAUGUAGAACAUUAGGAAAAUAUAAUUGUGUGACCAUGAUCUAGAAUGGCAUUGUAUAUUUGUAUUACAAGUUCAUGGAUCAUCAACUUUUUACCCUUCAGCCAAUUUCAUCUGAGUUUGGUCUGGGAUUAUUUAUAUCAUGAGAUGAUAGAAUUAUAUCAUGUUUUCUUUCAUAAAAAAAACAACUAAAAUAUAAUAUCUCAUGUAUCAGAGAACACCUUGACGGCUUAGGUGUAGUGAUAAACUAGUUCAUGAUUGAAAGAAAGUGUAACAGGUGCCAAGAAUCUUGACACAUAGUUUAGAACGAUAAACUCAGAGAUAAAGACAGUGAAACAUAACCUCAAACAUAGUGAUAUAUGAAACCAACAUAGAAACAAACUAAUAUACAUAUUGCCGCUCUCUAAAUUAAACAAGCUGAUAAGGACAUGGCACUAACUGGUUUAUGGUGAAGUGACAAGAGAAAACAUGUUUAUGAGAGCCCAAAUCUAACAAAGACCAAUGAACUUUAAAAUAGGGUACACAUAUUGUCACAUUCUAAUCCUAAAGAAAGAACACUAAAAUACCAGAUGGAUCUCAAUGGUUUAUCAUGAAAGUUUUCAUGGCUUAGGACACCAAACCACCAGUCACCCAAUCCAACAGAUAACUUACAGCUCCUCUCCAGCGAAAAGGCAAAGUUCCAGUAGAUUUUCUAAAACAAACAAUCUGAAGAAAAUAUGUGCAACUUUGACCAGCUCAUGCAGCCAAUUACACCAGAAAUCGACUAGAUCAAGAAAGGGAGACUCUCAAGCACCCAUCCAUCUCAUCCAAAUCAACUACAUUUCUUUCUCUCACUCACUUUUGGUACCUAAUUUGUUAUACAGUUCUUGAACUAAACAUGCAUUAACCCCAGUUUCUAAACAUGCAUUACCUCAUCCAAAAUCAUUAGUUCAAAACUUCUCACAAUACCAAAGUUUCUUCAAAGUAUAUACUUUUUCUAAAGUCUCAAAGGGGAUAUUCUUAGAAAAUUAAGGAUGUGUAUAGGUCUUUGUUAAAGUUAAUACACA
This 1583-nucleotide unclassified non-coding RNA is filed under the name Hevea brasiliensis (rubber tree). Lineage: Eukaryota; Viridiplantae; Streptophyta; Magnoliopsida; Malpighiales; Euphorbiaceae. The record is from RNAcentral.